GACGAACGCUGGCGGCGUGCCUAAUACAUGCAAGUCGAGCGCAUUUACGAGAGCUUGCUCUCGUAAAUUAGCGGCGGACGGGUGCGUAACACGUGGGCAACCUGCCUAUAAGACUGGGAUAACUUCGGGAAACCGGCGCUAAUACCGGAUAAUCCACAUCUACUCAGGUGAAUGUGCUGAAAGACGGUUUCGGCUGUCACUUAUCGAUGGGCCCGCGGCACAUUAGCUAGUUGGUGAGGUAACGGCUCACCAAGGCCCCGAUGCGUAGCCGACCUGAGAGCGUGAUCGGCCACACUGGGACUGAGACACGGCCCAGACUCCUACGGGAGGCAGCAGUAGGGAAGCUUCCGCAAUGGACGAAAGUCUGACGGAGCAUCGCCGCGUGAGUGAUGAAGGGUUUCGGAUCGUAAAACUCUGUUGUUAGGGAAGAACAAGUACCAGAGUAACUGCUGGUACCUUGACGGUACCUAACCAUAAAGCCACGGCUAACUACGUGCCAGCAGCCGCGGUAA
RNAcentral lists this ribosomal RNA (512 nucleotides) under uncultured bacterium. RNAcentral describes it as "partial 16S ribosomal RNA". It matches the Rfam family "Bacterial small subunit ribosomal RNA", at positions 28 to 523 of the family's 1533-position model. The record is from RNAcentral.